RNAcentral lists this ribosomal RNA (127 nucleotides) under uncultured eukaryote. RNAcentral describes it as "partial 18S ribosomal RNA". It matches the Rfam family "Eukaryotic small subunit ribosomal RNA", at positions 1679 to 1801 of the family's 1831-position model. The record is from RNAcentral.
CUACUACCGAUUGAAUGGCUUAGUGAGCUCCAGGGAUUGUUGUAUUUGAUUAGGUUCGCCUUUCUUGUACAUCCGAGAACUGAAUCAAACUUGAUCAUUUAGAGGAAGUAAAAGUCGUAACAAGGUC